Molecule: long non-coding RNA, 1759 nt
Organism: Rhipicephalus sanguineus (brown dog tick)
Lineage: Eukaryota; Metazoa; Arthropoda; Arachnida; Ixodida; Ixodidae
Exons: 3
Source: RefSeq, a predicted model, not a curated record
CACAUUGUGUGGUCAGUUCGCGUUGGUUCGCGUAGAACCUGUGCGCGUUGUAUCUGUUCCCAGUGAAGUGCAAAUUGUGAUGAGCCAUUUUAAUUAUGGAGGUGCACGACAAGGGAAGGCUAAUUUGCACACUGAAUAUAGCUGCGUCGUGUCUUUUUCGUGUGCGCGAGGCUUGUGACCGUGAGUAGCGCGAUGGGAUAUCUUCAGCUACACGUCGAUCUGAAAAAGUUACUACGGGCCGAAAACGGGAUAAUAUCCGGACCUCGAAGAAAACCUUGCAGACUUUCUUAAACAACUCUGCAUAUAAUGACUGUCAAGGGAACAGCACAUGACCAAGGCGUAUCCAGAAGUGAUCUUAGAGCCAGCAAAACAGGCUCACGGAAGAAAAGGAACUGCCAGGACAAUAAGUUUUAUAUUCUUUGAAGGAAAAUUGUGCUUGCUUGUCUCUCUCUCUUUUUGUAAUCGUAAACAUAGGAGCGUGCUACAGUUUUAUCAUUAAGAUGUGGUAACAAUAUCUUAAUGAGAAUUUUUAUUUUUGAAAAUUGUGUUUGUUUGUCUCUCUCUCUCUUUUUGUAAUCGUAAGCUUAGGAGCGUGCUACAGUUUUAUUACGAUGUGGUAGCAAUAUCUUAAUGAGAAUUUUAAUUUUUGAACCAGCAAAAUCAGGUGCUCGCAAGAUUCGUGUAAAUACUCUACCUGAAGGCAUAGUUUUUUUCAAGCUGAACUAAAUAAAUGCUUUUUCUUGUCUUUUUGCACCCAUUGUAAGUCUAUACCAUUCAGUGUUUCCAAGUAACAUAUUUGGAUGCACUUGACCAGUUAGCAUGUCUCUUUUUGGGGGCACUUCUGAUUAGCCGAACAGAUGACUGCGGUCCCUUAGAGGUCGUUUUAACGGGAGUCUACUGUAUACUGUACAUCUAGCUUAUGAUGAGACACUGCAGUCAACCAUGCAGCCUCUGAAGCAGGCUGACCUGCACUGGCACGAGCAGUUUUUGACCAUCACCCUAAAUAUUCAUGAUGUGCAAAGACAUAUUGAAAUGCGCCUUAUGGGAAGGAGCUCCACUCUCUUUGCAACGCAUCUUGAUGUGGUCUACAUAAAUGAGCUUAUGUUUUAAUUCUUCAUGUUUAUAGGGUGCUGCGGUUAACACUUGUUAUGUCGCGCACAGCCAUCUGAUAAAGGAUAAAAACAAAGUUGGGUACAAUAUUCUCACACCAAUACCCUUUAAAUAUUGAGAAACUUGUUAAGUUCUUAUUGGUCCCUUUGAAAUGGAUGCUGUAACGUGAGUUUCACAACGAGAUUCUUACUAUUUAAUUUUUUUUCACAGGAACCAUCUUUUCUGACAAAUGUUAUGUGGCCUGUGAGCAGGAACUGUUUUGCGAAGCAUCCAAUUUCACCGAGGCAGUCUGCGUAAUGUUCCUGACUUACUAUGCUUUCAACAUGAUGUACCCGAACAAUGCUGCGACAACACUGGAAUUCUUGCAAAGGCAGCUGUUCCUCAUCAAUCCACCAAGCGGUACAAAGCGGGAAGGGGGACAGCGGUCAAGGACGGUGGUUAAUUCGAGAAUUAUGAAGCUGAACCAUGUGCUUCGAGCAAACGUCUCACCCGAGCAGCUGGACUCUGACCAGUGAACACAGUGCACAAUACUGCACAUUAUUGUUACGGGCACCACGGGAAUGUGGAAAUAGUACAAAUGCCACGAUUAUUUACAAGUUUCCAUUAUACAUUGUAUUUCGCAUUCUAGAUCUAUAAGAUAUUGAGAUCA